This is a long non-coding RNA of Eriocheir sinensis (Chinese mitten crab), 292 nucleotides long. RefSeq lists it as uncharacterized. The record is from RefSeq and is a predicted model, not a curated record. The transcript has 3 exons. Lineage: Eukaryota; Metazoa; Arthropoda; Malacostraca; Decapoda; Varunidae.
AACUGCCUCCCACGGCUAACGAGCCUCACCUGCCCGGGUUUGUUUAGAGUUUGCUCUCCUAGGUGAAUUGCCUACCACGGCUAACGAGCCUCACCUGCCCGGGUUUGUUUAGAGUUUGCUCUCCUAGGUGAAUUGCCUACCACGGCUAACGAGCCUCACCUGCCCGGGUUUGUUUAGAGUUUGCUCUCCUAGGUGAAUUGCCUACCACGGCUAACGACCUCCACCUGCCCGGGUUUAUUGUUCGGAGUUUGCUCUCCUAGGUGAAUUGCCUCCCACGGCUAACGACCUCCAC